This 621-nucleotide long non-coding RNA is filed under the name Rattus norvegicus (Norway rat). Its description in RNAcentral is "long non-coding RNA NONRATT002523". The record is from RNAcentral. Lineage: Eukaryota; Metazoa; Chordata; Mammalia; Rodentia; Muridae.
GGCAGCCAGGCCAUGAGAUCUUAGGCCAUGUCAAGACGUGACGUGGUUCUUACCAAUGUUACUGUCGUCCAGCUACGGCGGGACCCAUGCCCAUGUCCAUGCCCAUGUCCAUGUCCAUGUCCAUGUCCCGUGAUCAGACCACCUCCACCUCCACCCAAGGUUGAGGAGCCUCCGCCACCCAAGGAGGAGCCGCCGCCACCGCCACCACCGCCUCCUCCACCCCAGAUAGAGCCAGAGGAGCCUAAAGAGGCUCCACCUCCACCUCCACCUCCUCCACCCCCUCCCCCUCCCCCUCCUCCACCACCCCCAAAGCCAGCUAAAGAGCUAACAGUGGGCAUCAAUGGAUUUGGACGCAUUGGUCGUCUGGUGCUACGAGUCUGCAUGGAGAAGGGCGUUCGGGUAGUAGCAGUGAAUGACCCAUUCAUUGAUCCAGAAUACAUGUGGGGAUUCGUCUAGGGCUGCUCACUCCGCAACCUACGACCAGGCCCUCGCUCUGUCUACUGCAGGUGUACAUGUUCAAAUAUGACUCCACACAUGGUAGAUACAAAGGAACGGUGGAACAUAAGAAUGGACGACUAGUUGUGGACAACCUUGAGAUCAACGUGUUCCAGUGGUAAGGAC